Miniopterus natalensis is the source of this 1725-nucleotide non-coding RNA. NCBI's taxonomy places the organism in Eukaryota, Metazoa, Chordata, Mammalia, Chiroptera, Miniopteridae. The record is from RefSeq and is a predicted model, not a curated record.
GGCCCAAGCUCUAGCCAUUGAGCCAAGCCAGCUAGGGCUACAUCUAAAUUCUUAAAAAUAUAUUUUAUGCCAAUUUCUCAAAAGAAUUAAGUGACCCACAGUAUUAAAAUACAUUUUAAAAACAAAAAAUAAAUGUAGACAAUAUCUAAAUGGCCAAUUUAUAAAAAGAGAAAUGUACAAAUAAAUUUUUCAGUAUUAUCUUCAUAUGAUUUGCUGAACAAAAUCUCCUGAAAUGUAUUUUAUGUUGUUAUAUCAGCAAAAUAUUAAUAUUAUAAAAAUGCAGAAUAUUUAGUGAACCAAUGGUCUAACGGAUCUGAAUUAUAAUGCUAAGCUUAUUUAUAAAUACUUUCCCUCCCUAACAUACUGAUCCUUACUAUUUGGAAAAUUCCUGUCUGCUAUUCAAGUCGGAAAGCUUGGACAGCUUUGCAACAUUACUGCACACCUACAGGUGGGACUUAAACAACUGCAAGGAACUUUUAGGUGUUUCCCCAGUACUGAGAUUCUGAGAUUCAACAGCUUCAGAGCAGAAACCAUAGGGGUUUGGCUGGUCCAAAUCACUAAUUCCAUUUUUAGUGUGUAUGUCUUUAACUCAUCUUUGCAACUAACAGCAUUACCACCAAACUUCUGAAACAAUUUCCUUCCAGAAACAUGUUCAUUGCUUAUAGCUGAUCUUCUGUUAAUUCGUGAACUAAAAAUUUAGAGAAACCUCAUGAGACUUUUGCUCAAACAAAAAGAAAAUCCAAUAAGAACUGAAGACCACCAUUUAUUUGAAUAACUCAGGCCCACCAUCAUGACCAAUGUUCCUCCUCUGGCACAUCUCAAAAUAAAACUUCUGGCGAGAGAAGGUUUCCUUAAAAGAUUACAAAUUACUGAAACAUCAACAGUUGGAAGCAACGCUGGCAAAGCUGUUGGAACUGGGGGAUCACAUUCUCUUUGCGGCUGAAAUGCAGCUCUGCAGAGCUGUUUUGCUGCUUUUUAAGAGAAAGGUUCUUCAAGAAAAACUAUGAGCAUGGGAAAGGAAUUAACGCAACCCCAUCCCCAGCCCUUUUAUAUCACAAGUCAAUGAGUGAUCUAAAAUAAACUUCAGAAGCUACGUACACCAUUAAAGAAUGUGAGAAGAAUUUUAAACACAGAAAAAAGAAUGAGGGUGAAAGAGGGUAUAAACGAGGUCAUGGAAAACGGGGGUAAUGCUGGCCGAAGACAAGGCCAGGCUGGCUGCCACCUGGUCAGAGCUCACUCUCAGGACUCAGAAGAAAACGCCUGAACACACUUCACUGCUGUUUCAGAAUACAGUACAAAGCACGUAAUCUACUGAGAUGAGUAAGGUAAAGUAAUCCGUGGUGUGCAUUACCUACAAACCAAACCAAAGAAAGGAAAAUGGAAUAACACGCUUUAAAUAUUAAGAGCCAAUGAUAUUUUUUAACCAUUAGGUAUUUUUCAGAUCAGUUCAGAGCCUUUUAUACAUUUAACCAAGUACAACUCUACCAAACGGGAUGGAAAAAAGAUCUCAAUACCCAUAGAGCUGCAGAAAGCUUUGGACUUUGUUAAAAUUAUCUGAAUAAAAAAAUGGAAAGAAAAAGAAAAAGCACUAUUAUUUUUGAAAAUAUCUGUGCAUAGGUUAAUAGAAGUUUCUAAAACUAAUGUAAAACUAAACCACCAUAUUUUACUGAGAGAUCAAGAUGGGUAGAAACUAGUGAAAAAUAAAAGUAUCAGAUAAAUCCUGAA